AUUUCUUGACGUCUCCACGUGGAGGGGAUGUUACCAGAUGUCACUAUGGAAUUUAUAAGAGAUAAAUAAUAAAAUAAAGCAUCAUCAUCUAAAUGAGAGAUAAAGGAAUACGGAAUACCGUCCAGUCCAGGAGCAGAAUCCUUAACAUGAGACAAUACACCUUUUAGUUCAGUGAGAGAAAAUAUACUGUUUAAACCAAAACAGUUAUCAUUAUUUAUAUUUAUUACAGGGUAACCAAUUAUUAAGUCUUCAGGAACGAAAGGUGGAGCCAAUUUAUCUAAAAAGCUAUUAACUAAAUGAAAAGGGAUUGAUUUUGGGGAUGAAUCUUUGUAUGCAGAUCUAAACCUUCUUAUAUUUUGCCAUACAAGAGAUGGUUUGACAUCAGGUUGGAAAUGAUAAUAAUAGUGGGAAGUGAUCACUACCAAAAGUAGUGAGAUCGUAAUGGAUCCCAGGACAAAGAAGAAGCAAGAUUAGGUGUAGUGACUGUUAAAUCUGGAGCACUUGGGCCCUCGUCAGGAUGAGAACGUCGUGUAGGACGACCAUCAUUUAAUAUACUCAAAUUCACUGAAUCAAAUAUAUCUAUUAAUGUGUUACCAUAACUAUUAGAAGAUAAGUAACCCCAGGAUUCAUGGCGACAGUUAAAAUCACCAAGGAUCAUAAAAGACUCCGGAAGAAUGGAAAUAAUAUCUUUAAUUUCAUUUAAGAUUGCAGAAGAAGGAUGAGGUAUAUAAAUAGAUACAUAACAGAUAUUUUCAACUAAAGCAGCAAUAAUAGAAAAAUCAUUACUGUGAGAAGGAAUAGAGAAGAGAGAAAAGGAAAGAGGGUGUUUCACAAGCAUGGCUACUCCGCCAUGCCCAUCCACACGAUCUUCUCUGAGACAUGAAUAACCACGAAUCUUAAAUAAAGAUCCUGGUUUCAACCAUGUCUCUUGAAGAGCACAGAUAUAAGGUUUAUAUUUAUUUAAUAAAUAAAUAAGAUCACUUUUUUUAGGAGUGAUGCUUUGACAAUUCCAUUGAAGAACUUUGUCCAUUAUUUGGUUUAUAAAUUUGAGUAAUUGCAGAAACUAAUAAGGCAGCGUUGGACGGUGAAAAUUCAUUCGAUUGACUAAGAGAUUUUAUAAGAGAAAUAAUUAAAUCAAUUACUGAGGAUUCCAAA
Leptidea sinapis is the source of this 1155-nucleotide long non-coding RNA. RefSeq lists it as uncharacterized. The record is from RefSeq and is a predicted model, not a curated record. The transcript is spliced from 2 exons. Lineage: Eukaryota; Metazoa; Arthropoda; Insecta; Lepidoptera; Pieridae.